GUGGUUAUUUCAGUAGCACAUAUACUAAUAUUGGAACAAUACAUAGAAGAUUAGAAUAGUCUCUGCAUAAGAAUUACAUGAAAACUCUUGAAGUGUUUCAUAUUGUU
Nycticebus coucang (slow loris) is the source of this 107-nucleotide small nuclear RNA. The record is from RefSeq and is a predicted model, not a curated record. NCBI's taxonomy places the organism in Eukaryota, Metazoa, Chordata, Mammalia, Primates, Lorisidae.